This 253-nucleotide ribosomal RNA is filed under the name uncultured bacterium. RNAcentral's name for it is "partial 16S ribosomal RNA". It matches the Rfam family "Bacterial small subunit ribosomal RNA", at positions 524 to 776 of the family's 1533-position model. The record is from RNAcentral.
UACGUAGGGUGCAAGCGUUAAUCGGAAUUACUGGGCGUAAAGCGUGCGCAGGCGGUGCUGUAAGACAGAUGUGAAAUCCCCGGGCUCAACCUGGGAACUGCAUUUGUGACUGCAUCGCUGGAGUGCGGUAGAGGGGGAUGGAAUUCCGCGUGUAGCAGUGAAAUGCGUAGAUAUGCGGAGGAACACCGAUGGCGAAGGCAAUCCCCUGGGCCUGCACUGACGCUCAGGCACGAAAGCGUGGGGAGCAAACAGG